This 253-nucleotide ribosomal RNA is filed under the name uncultured bacterium. RNAcentral's name for it is "partial 16S ribosomal RNA". It matches the Rfam family "Bacterial small subunit ribosomal RNA", at positions 524 to 776 of the family's 1533-position model. The record is from RNAcentral.
UACGUAGGUGGCAAGCGUUAUCCGGAAUUAUUGGGCGUAAAGCGCGCGCAGGUGGUUCCUUAAGUCUGAUGUGAAAGCCCCCGGCUCAACCGGGGAGGGUCAUUGGAAACUGGGGAACUUGAGUGUAGAAGAGGAAAGUGGAAUUCCACGUGUAGCGGUGAAAUGCGUAGAGAUGUGGAGGAACACCAGUGGCGAAGGCGACUUUCUGGUCUAUAACUGACACUCAACUACGAAAGCGUGGGGAGCAAACAGG